This 253-nucleotide ribosomal RNA is filed under the name uncultured bacterium. RNAcentral's name for it is "partial 16S ribosomal RNA". It matches the Rfam family "Bacterial small subunit ribosomal RNA", at positions 524 to 776 of the family's 1533-position model. The record is from RNAcentral.
GACGAAGGAUGCAAGCGUUGUCCGGAAUCAUUGGGCGUAAAGCGCGUGUAGGCGGUUCGGUAAGUCGGCUGUGAAAGUCCAGGGCUCAACCCUGGGAUGCCGGUCGAUACUGCCGGACUAGAGUUCGGAAGAGGCGAGUGGAAUUCCCGGUGUAGCGGUGAAAUGCGCAGAUAUCGGGAGGAACACCAAUGGCGAAGGCAGCUCGCUGGGACGUUACUGACGCUGAGACGCGAAAGCGUGGGGAGCAAACAGG